RNAcentral lists this ribosomal RNA (1236 nucleotides) under Halomonas sp. RNAcentral describes it as "bacterial SSU rRNA". It matches the Rfam family "Bacterial small subunit ribosomal RNA", at positions 37 to 1268 of the family's 1533-position model. The record is from RNAcentral. Lineage: Bacteria; Pseudomonadati; Pseudomonadota; Gammaproteobacteria; Oceanospirillales; Halomonadaceae.
UAGCUGGGGGAUGCCUACCAUGCUAGUCGAGCGGUAACAGGGGUAGCUUGCUACCCGCUGACGAGCGGCGGACGGGUGAGUAAUGCAUAGGAAUCUGCCCGAUAGUGGGGGAUAACCUGGGGAAACCCAGGCUAAUACCGCAUACGUCCUACGGGAGAAAGGGGGCUCCGGCUCCCGCUAUUGGAUGAGCCUAUGUCGGAUUAGCUAGUUGGUAAGGUAAUGGCUUACCAAGGCAACGAUCCGUAGCUGGUCUGAGAGGAUGAUCAGCCACAUCGGGACUGAGACACGGCCCGAACUCCUACGGGAGGCAGCAGUGGGGAAUAUUGGACAAUGGGGGCAACCCUGAUCCAGCCAUGCCGCGUGUGUGAAGAAGGCCCUCGGGUUGUAAAGCACUUUCAGCGAGGAAGAACGCCUAUCGGUUAAUACCCGGUAGGAAAGACAUCACUCGCAGAAGAAGCACCGGCUAACUCCGUGCCAGCAGCCGCGGUAAUACGGAGGGUGCAAGCGUUAAUCGGAAUUACUGGGCGUAAAGCGCGCGUAGGUGGCUUGAUAAGCCGGUUGUGAAAGCCCCGGGCUCAACCUGGGAACGGCAUCCGGAACUGUCAGGCUAGAGUGCAGGAGAGGAAGGUAGAAUUCCCGGUGUAGCGGUGAAAUGCGUAGAGAUCGGGAGGAAUACCAGUGGCGAAGGCGGCCUUCUGGACUGACACUGACACUGAGGUGCGAAAGCGUGGGUAGCAAACAGGAUUAGAUACCCUGGUAGUCCACGCCGUAAACGAUGUCGACCAGCCGUUGGGUGCCUAGAGCACUUUGUGGCGAAGUUAACGCGAUAAGUCGACCGCCUGGGGAGUACGGCCGCAAGGUUAAAACUCAAAUGAAUUGACGGGGGCCCGCACAAGCGGUGGAGCAUGUUGGUUUUAUUUCGAUGCAACGCGAAGAAUCUUACCUACCCUUGACAUCUACAGAAGCCGGAAGAGAUUUCUGGUGUGCUUUCGGUAACUGUAGACAGUUGCUGCAUGGCUGUCGUCAGCUCGUGUUGUGAAAUGAUGGGUUAAGUCCCGUAACGAGCGCAACCCUGUCUAAUUUGCCAGCGAGUAAUGUCGGGAAACUCUUAGGAGACUGCCGGGAACAAAUCCGUAGUAAGUUGGAACGACGUCAGGUCAUCAUGGUCUUACGGUAGCUAACACUCGUUCCUAACAAUGGCUGGUACUAAAGGCUGGCGCAUAUCUCUACGCGUAG